GAAAUCAAUAUAUUGAGACAAGGGAGAAAGGACAGAAUUAAUUUCAGAUAUAAAGGACAGAAUUGAUUCCAGAUGUCUGGAAUCAAUUCUGUCCUUUCUCCCUUGUCUCAAUAUAUUGAUUUC
Molecule: non-coding RNA, 123 nt
Organism: Pelobates cultripes (western spadefoot toad)
Lineage: Eukaryota; Metazoa; Chordata; Amphibia; Anura; Pelobatidae
Source: the annotation of a GenBank genome assembly